This 1929-nucleotide long non-coding RNA is filed under the name Nicotiana tabacum (common tobacco). RNAcentral's name for it is "long non-coding RNA (NTAB_LNC004429)". The record is from RNAcentral. Lineage: Eukaryota; Viridiplantae; Streptophyta; Magnoliopsida; Solanales; Solanaceae.
UGGUAUGUUAUCAAAUAUGAGGUCCAUAUCGCCCGGAUCACAAUCUUAGGAUAAGAGACCAAUCUAAAAUCCACGCUCCUAUUGGACAUCUCAUUUUUAUCGCUUGACUCUUCUUCUUUCUAUAUUCCACAUUUCUCACAUCAAUAAUAGCAAACAAAAACAAACCAAAUUGCAACUUCAAAGCCAGAAACCCUUAACAGCAACAAAGAAAUGGCAGCCACCAUAGGAACCAUGGCCAUGCUCAACGUCAAAUGCUUUACCAAAGCAUCUAUUAACAACCCUUCAAAGCCCAAACCCAUCUCUCUUCUCUCCCUUCAAAACCUCCCAAAAGGUCUAUUGACUUCCAAAACAUCUGAAAACACCUCAAACUUAUCAAGUUCCCUCACUGGAACAGCAAUUGCAGGUGCCAUUUUCUCAACCCUGAGCUCAUGCGACAGCGCUUUUGCCGCUCAACAAAUUGCUGACAUAGCAGAGGGAGACAACAGGGGUUUAGCACUUUUACUUCCUUUAAUUCCUGCUAUAGCAUGGGUUCUUUACAACAUUCUUCAACCAGCACUGAACCAAAUCAAUAAAAUGAGGAAUCAAGGAGUUAUUAUUGGUCUUGGUCUAACUGGUUUAGCAGCAUCAGGUUUUUUCCACACUCCAGAGGCUUCAGCUGCUAGUGAAAUUGCUAUGAUUGCAGAUGCAGCAAGUGACAACAGAGGACAACUUUUGUUGAUUGUUGUGACUCCUGCUUUGCUUUGGGUUGCUUACAAUAUUCUACAGCCAGCUUUGAAUCAGAUCAACAAGAUGAGACAGUGAGGAUCAUGUUUUGUAAAAGUGUGCAGUUGUAUUUGGACAAUAUUACUUAUAUAAAGUUGCACCUUUUUGACUUUUAUCAAUCAACUUGUCCUUAAAAAAAACCAUUUUGUUUUAUGGAUAACUUUCUUUCAAACUUAUUUAGUAGGAUUGAAUAAAAUUGUGUAUUAUUUGUAAUCAAAAGAUUGUUCUCAACUUAUAUAUAUGAAAUUAGUUGUAUUUACUUGAUCUGUUGUCUGUAUAUAGGUAUGACAUUAAUCAAAAUCAGGGGACCAAGAUUUUAGGUUUAAGGGCUUAUUAUUGGCAGAUUGGAAUUUAACCACAUAAUUCCCUUCAUUAUGUAGGAAUAUCUCAGGCUCAGUAAUACUAAACCAUGUUUGAUUAACAUAUACUCCUCACCAUGUAAUUGUACCAUGGGCUGUCACCAAUGAUGUACACAAUCAAAGCACUGCUCCAUUUCUCAAUCUCCUUCUCCACUUCUGUUUUUCUGAUUGGACAAUAAUUUUACUAUUAGUAUUCUGGGGGGAACAUAAGAGAGAUUUAAUUCCAUUUUAAGCAUAGCAAUUUCUAACAAAUAGAUUUACCUAUGUAUUUCCCGGGGGCUCUUUUUCCUCUUCAAAAAUUACUGGAUCUGCGUAGUUGAAAGAAAAAUAUUUUGUUAUAAAUCUAUCUUUACAAUUCUUUAUUUCCUCCACACAUCUCCACACACAAAAUAAACUAUCAAUACCCCCGGUUAUAAUAAGAAAUUAGUUCAACUCCUUCAGGUAACAUUGUUCUAAUAAGAAUACAUACCAAAAAGUUCUAUUCUAACGAUUAUUUGCAAAUGAACUUGAGCCAAAUUAACUAACUUGAGGUGCGUCUACGUAAUUGAAGUAAAUAAGCACAUUGCUUAACCUGUUGAGCCCGUACACAACACGGGCAACAUUCUUGCUUGAGAAUAAAUAAAAAGGGAGAGUAGAAACUUAUAUUGUUUUGUGGUGCACAAUUUAAGUCAAUAAAGUAUAUUGUAAUGGUCCAAAGAAGAGGAAUUGAAUCUCUGAGUGGACAAUCUGCAGGUUAUAUUUGAAUUUCAUUAGGAGCAAAACCAUUAUUGAACUAAUGUCACUAUAUCAACAACAAAACCUUGGAGGC